UACUAACUUGCGAUAAGCGCAGAUAAGGCAGUAAGAGCCGUUUGAGUCUGCGAUUUCCGAAUGGGGAAACCCAACUGCAUAAGCAGUUACUGUUAACUGAAUACAUAGGUUAACAGAGCAAACCGGGGGAACUGAAACAUCUAAGUACCCCGAGGAGAAGAAAUCAACCGAGAUUCCGGUAGUAGCGGCGAGCGAACCUGGAUUAGCCCUUAAGCACUCGGUGAAGUAGGUGAACAAGCUGGAAAGCUUGGCGAUACAGGGUGAUAGCCCCGUAACCGACGCUUCAUCGAGCGUGAAAUCGAGUAGGGCGGGACACGUGAUAUCCUGUCUGAAUAUGGGGGGACCAUCCUCCAAGGCUAAAUACUCCUGACUGACCGAUAGUGAACCAGUACCGUGAGGGAAAGGCGAAAAGAACCCCUGUGAGGGGAGUGAAAUAGAACCUGAAACCGUGUACGUACAAGCAGUAGGAGCACCUUCGUGGUGUGACUGCGUACCUUUUGUAUAAUGGGUCAGCGACUUAUAUUCAGUGGCAAGGUUAACCGUAUAGGGGAGCCGUAGCGAAAGCGAGUCUUAACUGGGCGCUCAGUCUCUGGAUAUAGACCCGAAACCGGGUGAUCUAGCCAUGGGCAGGUUGAAGGUUGAGUAACAUCAACUGGAGGACCGAACCGACUAAUGUUGAAAAAUUAGCGGAUGACUUGUGGCUAGGGGUGAAAGGCCAAUCAAACUCGGAGAUAGCUGGUUCUCCCCGAAAGCUAUUUAGGUAGCGCCUCGGACGAAUACUACUGGGGGUAGAGCACUGUUAAGGCUAGGGGGUCAUCCCGACUUACCAACCCUUUGCAAACUCCGAAUACCAGUAAGUACUAUCCGGGAGACACACGGCGGGUGCUAACGUCCGUCGUGGAGAGGGAAACAACCCAGACCGCCAGCUAAGGUCCCAAAGUAUUGCUAAGUGGGAAACGAUGUGGGAAGGCUCAGACAGCUAGGAUGUUGGCUUAGAAGCAGCCAUCAUUUAAAGAAAGCGUAAUAGCUCACUAGUCGAGUCGGCCUGCGCGGAAGAUGUAACGGGGCUAAGCA
This 1074-nucleotide ribosomal RNA is filed under the name Vibrio cholerae. RNAcentral describes it as "partial 23S ribosomal RNA". It matches the Rfam family "Bacterial large subunit ribosomal RNA", at positions 59 to 1188 of the family's 2925-position model. The record is from RNAcentral. Lineage: Bacteria; Pseudomonadati; Pseudomonadota; Gammaproteobacteria; Vibrionales; Vibrionaceae.